UUUUAUUUACAUACAACUAUAUAUGAUAAACUACUAUACAAGGUGACUCUAUAUGAAUACAUUUGGCAGUGUACCAAGAUGUCCAAUGAUAUAGUGUAACAUGUAGGUAAUGAUGAGUGGUGGCUUUUCCAUUAAAUACUAUGUGAGCUACAUGAUCAUGCAAAGCAAUAUGAUAAUGAACACCCAAGUCAUGUGACAGAACAGUGGAAGUUACAUGGCAAUAUAUCUCGGAAUGGCUAUCGAAAUGCCAUGAUAGGUAGGCAUGGUGGUUGUUUUCAGGAAGAUAUAACAUGGAUUAUUGGUGAUAGAUCAUAUCAUAUCAUGGGGUUUGGAUGCACCAGCGAAGGUUGCACCAAUCCUUGAGGUGACAAUGGGUAAUGCACAUACCAAAGACGCUAGCAAAUAGAAAAAGGUGAGUGUGUGCAUAUCCAUGGAUUCACAUAAGUCAUAAAGAAGUCAUAUACUUAUUGCAAAUCCUAUUAGCUCUCUUUAAGCAAAGUAUUACCACAUACCCCUAGGAAGAAGGUUGGUAGCAGUUCACCAUCGCAUGCCUCCGAACCAAAUAACAC
This 569-nucleotide long non-coding RNA is filed under the name Hordeum vulgare. Its description in RNAcentral is "long non-coding RNA (HVUL_LNC007372)". The record is from RNAcentral. Lineage: Eukaryota; Viridiplantae; Streptophyta; Magnoliopsida; Poales; Poaceae.